UUUCCGUAGGUGAACCUGCGGAAGAAUCAUUCAUAAUAAGUGUUUUAUGGCACUUUUUUAAAUCCAUAUCCACCUUGUGUGCAAUGUCAGGGUUGAUUUUUCUCUCGAGAGGAUCAACCCCAAACAUCAACUAUAUCUCAACUCUUUGUCUGAAAAAUAUUAUGAAUAAAACAAUUCAAAAUACAACUUUCAACAACGGAUCUCUUGGCUCUC
This 213-nucleotide unclassified non-coding RNA is filed under the name plant metagenome. RNAcentral describes it as "partial contains small subunit ribosomal RNA, internal transcribed spacer 1, and 5.8S ribosomal RNA". The record is from RNAcentral.